GUACUCACCUGGCAGGGGAGAUCUGUGAUCACGAAAGUGGUCUUCCCAGGUCGAGGCUUGCCCUCCGCCCUCCGGAUGUGCCAACCCUGUGAUUUCCCAGAAGUGGGAAAUUCAGCGGCAUCAUUCAUGGUCAUGGGGGUUGCAUUCAUACUUUCCUCUG
Molecule: small nuclear RNA, 160 nt
Organism: Saimiri boliviensis boliviensis (Bolivian squirrel monkey)
Lineage: Eukaryota; Metazoa; Chordata; Mammalia; Primates; Cebidae
Gene: U1
Rfam family: U1 spliceosomal RNA
About the family: U1 is a small nuclear RNA (snRNA) component of the spliceosome (involved in pre-mRNA splicing). Its 5' end forms complementary base pairs with the 5' splice junction, thus defining the 5' donor site of an intron. There are significant differences in sequence and secondary structure between metazoan and yeast U1 snRNAs, the latter being much longer (568 nucleotides as compared to 164 nucleotides in human).
Source: Ensembl